UACGGAGGGUGCAAGCGUUAUCCGGAUUCACUGGGUUUAAAGGGUGCGUAGGUGGGCAGGUAAGUCAGUGGUGAAAUCUCCGGGCUCAACCCGGAAACUGCCAUUGAUACUAUCAGUCUUGAAUAUCGUGGAGGUAAGCGGAAUAUGUCAUGUAGCGGUGAAAUGCUUAGAUAUGACAUAGAACACCAAUUGCGAAGGCAGCUUACUACACGAAUAUUGACACUGAGGCACGAAAGCGUGGGGAUCAAACAGG
RNAcentral lists this ribosomal RNA (253 nucleotides) under uncultured bacterium. Its description in RNAcentral is "partial 16S ribosomal RNA". It matches the Rfam family "Bacterial small subunit ribosomal RNA", at positions 524 to 776 of the family's 1533-position model. The record is from RNAcentral.